Molecule: ribosomal RNA, 383 nt
Filed under: uncultured bacterium
Lineage: Bacteria
Description: bacterial SSU rRNA
Rfam family: Bacterial small subunit ribosomal RNA
Source: RNAcentral
GAUGAACGCUGGCGGCGUGCUUAACACAUGCAAGUCGAACGGUGAAGCAGGAGCUUGCUCCUGUGGAUCAGUGGCGAACGGGUGAGUAACACGUGAGCAAUCUGCCCUGGACUCUGGGAUAAGCGUUGGAAACGACGUCUAAUACCGGAUACGAGCUGCGAAGGCAUCUUCAGCAGCUGGAAAGAACUUCGGUCCAGGAUGAGCUCGCGGCCUAUCAGCUAGUUGGUGAGGUAACGGCCCACCAAGGCGACGACGGGUAGCCGGCCUGAGAGGGUGACCGGCCACACUGGGACUGAGACACGGCCCAGACUCCUACGGGAGGCAGCAGUGGGGAAUAUUGCACAAUGGGCGCAAGCCUGAUGCAGCAACGCCGCGUGAGGGAC